UCUCCGUUGGUGAACCAGCGGAGGGAUCAUUACCGAGUUUUCAACUCCCAAACCCCAUGUGAACUUAUACCAUUUACAACCGUUGCUUCGGCGGGUUCUCGCCCCGGGCUUUACACCCCGGAACCAGGCGGCCCGCCGGGGGACCCAAACUCUAGAUUUAUAUUUUAGCAUGUCUGAGUGGAAUCAUUACAAAAUGAAUCAAAACUUUCAACAACGGAUCUCUUGGUUCUGGCAUCGAUGAAGAACGCAGCGAAAUGCGAUAAGUAAUGUGAAUUGCAGAAUUCAGUGAAUCAUCGAAUCUUUGAACGCACAUUGCGCCCGCCAGUAUUCUGGCGGGCAUGCCUGUUCGAGCGUCAUUUCAACCCUCAAGCCCCAGCGGUUUGGUGUUGGGGACCGGCGAGUACAGAGGCUUUGGGGACUUGUCCCCCUUCCCUCGGCGCCGCCCCCGAAAUGAAUUGGCGGUCUCGUCGCGGCCUCCUCUGCGUAGUAGCACAACCUCGCAUCAGGAGCGCGGCGCGGCCACUGCCGUAAAACGCCCAACUUUUUUUAAGAGUUGACCUCGAAUCAGGUAGGAAUACCCGCUGAACUUAAGCAUAUCAAUAAGCGGAGGAAAAGAAACCAACAGGGAUUGCCCCAGUAACGGCGAGUGAAGCGGCAACAGCUCAAAUUUGAAAUCUGGCCCCUAGGGCCCGAGUUGUAAUUUGCAGAGGAUGCUUUUGGCGAGGUGCCUUCCGAGUUCCCUGGAACGGGACGCCAUAGAGGGUGAGAGCCCCGUCUGGUUGGAUGCCGAGCCUCUGUAAAGCUCCUUCGACGAGUCGAGUAGUUUGGGAAUGCUGCUCUAAAUGGGAGGUAUAUGUCUUCUAAAGCUAAAUACCGGCCAGAGACCGAUAGCGCACAAGUAGAGUGAUCGAAAGAUGAAAAGCACUUUGAAAAGAGGGUUAAAUAGUACGUGAAAUUGUUGAAAGGGAAGCACUUAUGACCAGACUUGGACCCGGUGAAUCAUCCAGCGUUCUCGCUGGUGCACUUUGCCGGGCUCAGGCCAGCAUCAGUUUGCCUCGGGGGAUAAAGGCUUUGGGAAUGUGGCUCCCUCGGGAGUGUUAUAGCCCAUUGCACAAUACCCUGGGGCGGACUGAGGUUCGCGCAUCUGCAAGGAUGCUGGCGUAAUGGUCAUCAGUGAC
RNAcentral lists this small RNA (1178 nucleotides) under Pochonia chlamydosporia. RNAcentral's name for it is "eukaryotic LSU rRNA". The stretch from base 555 to 1178 matches the Rfam family "Eukaryotic large subunit ribosomal RNA", at positions 1 to 648 of the family's 3401-position model. Lineage: Eukaryota; Fungi; Ascomycota; Sordariomycetes; Hypocreales; Clavicipitaceae. The record is from RNAcentral.